AUACGUAGGGGGCGAGCGUUGUCCGGAAUUACUGGGCGUAAAGGGUGCGUAGGCGGCCCAUUAAGUCAGAUGUGAAAUACCAGGGCUCAACCGUGGUAUUGCAUAUGAAACUGGUGGGCUUGAGUGCAGGAGAGGGAAGUGGAAUUCCUAGUGUAGCGGUGAAAUGCGUAGAGAUUAGGAGGAACACCAGUGGCGAAGGCGGCUUUCUGGACUGUAACUGACGCUGAGGCACGAAAGCGUGGGUAGCGAACAGGAUUAGAUACCCUGGUAGUCCACGCUGUAAACGAUGGAUACUAGGUGUAGGGCACGCUAGUGUUCUGUGCCGGAGUUAACGCAAUAAGUAUCCCGCCUGGGGAGUACGGCCGCAAGGUUGAA
Molecule: ribosomal RNA, 375 nt
Filed under: uncultured bacterium
Lineage: Bacteria
Description: bacterial SSU rRNA
Rfam family: Bacterial small subunit ribosomal RNA
Source: RNAcentral